AGCGAACGCUGGCGGCAGGCCUAACACAUGCAAGUCGAACGAACUCUUCGGAGUUAGUGGCGGACGGGUGAGUAACACGUGGGAACGUGCCUUUAAGUUCGGAAUAACUCAGGGAAACUUGUGCUAAUACCGAAUGUGCCCUUCGGGGGAAAGAUUUAUCGCCUUUAGAGCGGCCCGCGUCUGAUUAGCUAGUUGGUGAGGUAAAGGCUCACCAAGGCGACGGUCAGUAGCUGGUCUGAGAGGAUGAUCAGCCACAUUGGGACUGAGACACGGCCCAAACUCCUACGGGAGGCAGCAGUGGGGAAUCUUGCGCAAUGGGCGAAAGCCUGACGCAGCCAUGCCGCGUGAAUGAUGAAGGUCUUAGGAUUGUAAAAUUCUUUCACCGGGGACGAUAAUGACGAUACCCGGAGAAGAAGCCCCGGCUAACUUCGUGCCAGCAGCCGCAGUAA
This 449-nucleotide ribosomal RNA is filed under the name uncultured bacterium. Its description in RNAcentral is "partial 16S ribosomal RNA". It matches the Rfam family "Bacterial small subunit ribosomal RNA", at positions 29 to 523 of the family's 1533-position model. The record is from RNAcentral.